This 1442-nucleotide long non-coding RNA is filed under the name Olea europaea subsp. europaea. Lineage: Eukaryota; Viridiplantae; Streptophyta; Magnoliopsida; Lamiales; Oleaceae. The record is from RNAcentral.
GGCCUGACUAUCGAAAAAUAAAACUUGGCACAUAGGCCUGAGAAUUGAAAACGUGAACCUUGAUGCGCAGGCCUGACUACUGAUAACUGGUAGACCAAGUUACUUGUAAUAUGUCUUUAAAUUCUCGGCAUUCCAUGGUCUUGGAAGUGGUCUUCCUGAUGUAUCUCUUAAACUGUAUGCGCCUCCUUGGAGUUGUCGUAUGACUUCAAAGGGCCCUUCCCAAACUGGUCCUAGCUUGCCGGGGGCAUGACCUGCUGUUUCGGCCCUUCUUAAAACAAGGUCUUCGGCUCUGAAUCUCUGCGUCCUCACUUUUUUAUUGAAGUACUUUGCUGUUUUAUCUUGGUAGGAGGCCAUUCUUAAAGUUGCCUGAUCACGAACUUCUUUCAAGAGGUUGAGGUGUUCAGUGGUACACCCUGCAUCUUCAGGCUCGAGCCUCCUUUGGCUGGAAAACCUGACUUCAACUGGGAUGGUGGCCUCAAUACCGAAAGCUAACAUGAAUGGGGUUUCCCCCUUAGCAGUUCUGUGGGACGUUCUAUACGUCCAAAGUAUGGAAGGUAACUCGUCAAACCAGGAACCUCUUGCAUCCCCGAUCCUUGUACGGAGGUCUUGCAAUAUAAUCCGAUUGGUCACUUCGGCGAGACCAUUACUUUGAGGAAAUGGGAAACCGGCGUCAAACGGUGAUCAACCCCUAGGUUGGAACAAAAGUUUUUAAAUUGUGCAUUGUCGAACUGCCUGCCAUUGUCAGUUAUGAGGACUUUCGGUAUUCCGAACCUUCAUAUGAUAGAUCUCCAAAUGAAACUUCGACUCUGAAAUUGUUGCUAAAGGCUCGGCCUCCACCCACUUAGUGAAAUACUCUACAGCCAUAGCCACAAACUUCAAUUGUCCCCUACUUAUUGGAAAGGGACCGAGGAUGUCAAUUUUCCACUGCUCAAAUGGGGCUGUGCAACUAAUGUUAGUGAGGUACGCUACGGGAGGGUGGAUGACAUUGCUAAAUCUUUGGCACUUGUCACACUUCUUGACAUAUUCCUGGGCGUCUUUCUUCAUGGUUGGCCAAUAAUAUCCAUACCUUAUGAGUUUGAAGGCUAAAGCCCGAGCUCCUUGAUGGUUCCCACAUACUCUUUCAUGAACUUCUUCUAGGGCCUGAGAUGAUUCGGAAGGCCUAAGGCAUCUGAGGUAUGGAAGUGUGAGGCUCAUGCGAAAUAAAACUCCUUCAAUCAUGCAAUACCUCGGAGCUUUGGACCGGAUGCUUCUCGCUGCUCGAGAAUCUUCUGGAAGACUGCCAUGUGUUUAUGAAGUCCACUAUUGCGUCCAUCCACGACGGUUCAUUAUCAAUAUCCAUGACGCCUGUGGUCUGAUUGAUGCUUGGCUCGGUUACAAUUUUGACUUGAACUGUCCCGUCAAGCCCAUCUAUUCCCAUGAAGACCAAUCUUGACAAGGCAUCG